RNAcentral lists this ribosomal RNA (496 nucleotides) under uncultured bacterium. RNAcentral describes it as "partial 16S ribosomal RNA". It matches the Rfam family "Bacterial small subunit ribosomal RNA", at positions 899 to 1397 of the family's 1533-position model. The record is from RNAcentral.
ACUCAAAGGAAUAGACGGGGACCCGCACAAGCGGUGGAUGAUGUGGAUUAAUUCGAUGCAACGCGAAAAACCUUACCUACGCUUGACAUGCCAGGAAUCCUGCUGAGAGGUGGGAGUGCUCGAAAGAGAGCCUGGACACAGGUGCUGCAUGGCUGUCGUCAGCUCGUGUCGUGAGAUGUUGGGUUAAGUCCCGCAACGAGCGCAACCCUUAUCAUUAGUUGCCACCGCAAGGGGCACUCUAAUGAGACUGCCGGUGACAAACCGGAGGAAGGUGGGGAUGACGUCAAGUCCUCAUGGCCCUUAUGCGUAGGGCUUCACACGUCAUACAAUGGUCGGUACAGAGGGCUGCCAACCCGCGAGGGGGAGCCAAUCCCUUAAAACCGAUCGUAGUCCGGAUUGCAGUCUGCAACUCGACUGCAUGAAGUCGGAAUCGCUAGUAAUCGCGGAUCAGCAUGUCGCGGUGAAUACGUUCCCGGGUCUUGUACACACCGCCCGU